GAUGAACGCUGGCGGCGUGCCUAAUACAUGCAAGUCGAGCGAACGGACGAGAAGCUUGCUUCUCUGAUGUUAGCGGCGGACGGGUGAGUAACACGUGGAUAACCUACCUAUAAGACUGGGAUAACUUCGGGACACCGGAGCUAAUACCGGAUAAUAUUUUGAACCGCAUGGUUCAAAAGUGAAAGACGGUCUUGCUGUCACUUAUAGAUGGAUCCGCGCUGCAUUAGCUAGUUGGUAAGGUAACGGCUUACCAAGGCAACGAUGCAUAGCCGACCUGAGAGGGUGAUCGGCCACACUGGAACUGAGACACGGUCCAGACUCCUACGGGAGGUAGCAGUAGGGAAUCUUCCGCAAUGGGCGAAAGCCUGACGGAGCAACGCCGCGUGAGUGAUGAAGGUCUUCGGAUCGUAAAACUCUGUUAUUAGGGAAGAACAUAUGUGUAAGUAACUGUGCACAUCUUGACGGUACCUAAUCAGAAAGCCACGGCUAACUACGUG
This 497-nucleotide ribosomal RNA is filed under the name uncultured bacterium. Its description in RNAcentral is "partial 16S ribosomal RNA". It matches the Rfam family "Bacterial small subunit ribosomal RNA", at positions 28 to 507 of the family's 1533-position model. The record is from RNAcentral.